GGCCGCGUGGCCUAAUGGAUAAGGCAUCAGACUUCGAAUCUAUGGGGAUUGCAGGUUCGAUCCCUGCCGUGGUCG
This is a transfer RNA of Caenorhabditis elegans, 75 nucleotides long. Lineage: Eukaryota; Metazoa; Nematoda; Chromadorea; Rhabditida; Rhabditidae. The record is from Ensembl.